This 460-nucleotide ribosomal RNA is filed under the name uncultured bacterium. Its description in RNAcentral is "partial 16S ribosomal RNA". It matches the Rfam family "Bacterial small subunit ribosomal RNA", at positions 338 to 795 of the family's 1533-position model. The record is from RNAcentral.
CCUACGGGAGGCAGCAGUGAGGAAUAUUGGUCAAUGGACGGAAGUCUGAACCAGCCAAGCCGCGUGCGGGAGGACGGUUCUGUGAAUCGUAAACCUCUUUUGUACGGGAAUAAACUCUGGUACGCGUCCUAUUUUGUAUGUACCUUAUGAAUAAGGAUCGGCUAACUCCGUGCCAGCAGCCGCGGUAAUACGGAGGAUCCGAGCGUUAUCCGGAUUUAUUGGGUUUAAAGGGUGCGUAGGCGGUCGUUUAAGUCAGCGGUGAAAGUCCGUGGCUCAACCAGCGAAUUGCCGUUGAAACUGGUGGGCUCGAGAAUGGUUGAGGCAGGCGGAAUGCGUGGUGUAGCGGUGAAAUGCUUAGAUAUCACGCAGAACACCGAUUGCGAAGGCAGCCUGCCAAGCCAUGACUGACGCUGAGGCACGAAAGCGUGGGGAUCAAACAGGAUUAGAUACCCGAGUAGUC